RNAcentral lists this ribosomal RNA (253 nucleotides) under uncultured bacterium. Its description in RNAcentral is "partial 16S ribosomal RNA". It matches the Rfam family "Bacterial small subunit ribosomal RNA", at positions 524 to 776 of the family's 1533-position model. The record is from RNAcentral.
UACGGAGGGGGCUAGCGUUGUUCGGAUUUACUGGGCGUAAAGCGCGCGUAGGCGGCUUGGAAAGUUGGGAGUGAAAGCCCGGGGCUCAACCCCGGAACUGCUCUCAAAACUUCCAAGCUAGAGAUCUGGAGAGGAGGGUGGAAUUCCAAGUGUAGAGGUGAAAUUCGUAGAUAUUUGGAAGAACACCAGUGGCGAAGGCGGCCUUCUGGACGGUGACUGACGCUGAGACGCGAAAGCGUGGGGAGCAAACAGG